AGUGUCAACAUCUUUCAUAUUUUUUAAUAAUAUAGAACAAUGCUCUAAUAUACCGCACUUCUACAUUUAGCUUGCAACUAUAAAGAGAAGCACAAUCCUUUGCCUUUCCACAACACAAAGACACACAUUGGAGUCCCAAAGCAAACAGAUAUCUAGUUCUAAUACCCUCCAAAGCCAAAACCAAAUAGAAACAUCCACCCCAAGUCUCCAACAUAUAAAAUUCACAAACUAAGAAAGUUUUGAUCUUUCAAUCAAAAUGGCAGAGUUGAAAAGUGCUAUGGAAGAUUACGCACUUAUAUACCAAUGUAUUAGCAAUGACACCAGCCAAUGCCCCAAACUUAGGCAUAAUAUUGAUAUUCACUAGCUUACACAACAUUGUUACUGGUGCUGAGGACCAGAAAAGCAGAAGGAAGGUAUCAAAAAUUGGUGACAAACAAUGCGAUUCGAGCCCGUAUUUGCAAUAUCGAAGACAGGGUUAAGGUCGUCGAAUCGGUAAAAUAAGGAUGACUUGGGAAGCUUCAGUGAGUUUAUGGGCUGAAGAAGGAGGUUGUUGGAUUUGGGAGUCCAUUGCAUGUCAUCGUGUUUUGAAAAAGCUAAGUGAUGUUCUUCUAUUUAUAUUUGCAAGCUAAUUGUAGAAGUGAGAUAUAUUAGAGUGAUAACUCUUGUUUUUUAUAAAUAUUUUUGAUAUAUUAAAAAAUAUAAGAAAGUUUGACGCUAAACUUUUAAUUACUGAGAGUACUCUUUGUAUGUGAAAUAUAUGUGUCAUGUGGAUCCAUUACUCUUUGUGCU
This is a long non-coding RNA of Jatropha curcas, 789 nucleotides long. RefSeq lists it as uncharacterized. NCBI's taxonomy places the organism in Eukaryota, Viridiplantae, Streptophyta, Magnoliopsida, Malpighiales, Euphorbiaceae. The record is from RefSeq and is a predicted model, not a curated record.